GAUAAGUCUCCAUCUUAUCUCUUCUUUGACUCUUUCAAAGCAACUAGAACAAUCAAGAACUCUCUCCCUCUUUCAUACCCACGGUCCAACAUCAAAAGAAAGAAAAACUCUCAACUCUUCUCUCCCUCUCACACCUAUGGGCAGUAAGGAAAAAGGUUUCUUUCAUUUCUUCUCAAGCUUUUGUUCCCAAUUUAAAGCUAGAGUGAUUCUAGCUCAAUCACUCCAAGAACCUGUGUCUAGGGUGUUACCAGCCCCCAGGUCUAAGUUCCUUCAAUUGUAGGCUUUCUGUUCCUUUGCCUUUAGGUAAAGGAUAAGUUAUAUGAGCAUUUGGUAAGUCAUGAAGUUAUUUUAAAGUGUAUUAUGCAUUAAAAUGUUUUUUAUUAGAGAUAUGACAUAUAAGCAUGUUUCAGACAAAGAUAUGUUCGUGAGCUUUCGAAACCUUAUGUAUAUGAUUUAAGCAUAUUGAUGCUAUUACUAAUUUCCACGAACAUGAUGUUUAAAGAAAAUAAUGGAAAUGCUAUUAUUGUGAAAUGAUAUGCAAACCAUGAAUUUCAGUAUGAUGUAUAAGUAUGAAAUGUUUUCGGGUUAUGUCCUCUGGUGAUCUGAACUCGGUCAGUAGGGGUUAAUUACUGGCUUUCCAUGGAAAAUGUUAUCUGUUUGGCCAUUUAAAGUAAAAGAAAUGGGGCUGCCCGUAACUCUAGGCCAUUUAAAGUAGAGGAAAUGAGGCUACCCAUAACUCUAAUCUAAACAAGACUUUCUUCCCAAUGUGUACGGAUAGCGAGGAGGAACAAAACCUUGAGGGGAUGUGUCAUCAGGCUUCCCAAAGAGGACAAUAUCAUACACACGAGGGCACCUAAAUAUGAUGAGGCAUUCUCUGUACAGACUUAUAAGAUAUGGACUAACCAAUAUGUUAUGAACACCUAUAUUAUGUUAUUGAUCAUGAGAGAAUGAUUUUGUUUAAAUGCAUUGUGAAAAGUUAAAAGCUCUCAUGGAAAGAAGAAGUUUCUGAUGAAAAGAAAGCUGUUCUAUAAAGAUAAAAUUUUCUGAAGUUCUGUUGUGCUUUAAAAAUAAAAAAUCUGAUGAAAAGGUUUUAGUGUUCUAUAAAGAUAAAGCUUCUGAUGAAAGUACAAGUUUAUGUUAAAAGUUAUCAGAUAUCUGUUCUUUAUGAAACGUUAAGUUUUAUGAUUAUGAAAGUUAAAAUAUUUUAUGAGAAGAAAUUUAUGAAGGAAAGUUUUAUUAUUCUUUAAGAUGCUUCUAGUUUAAGACAAAGUUACCAAUUAUCUAAUUUAAGUUAAAACAAUUUUUUUGUAAUGAGAAUAUAUAUAUAUAUAUAUAUAUAUAUAGUGACUUUGUAGGAAAUGAAGGAAAUUCAAUCCGAAAGGUUUUGGUAAUAUUAUUCUGAUGAGAAAAAGGAGAACAAUUAUUUUCCUACGAAGAGUGUAUAAGUUAUUAUUAUAAAUUGUACAAAAUACUAUGCAUGAAAAGAUGUUCUCCUAUCUGAAUAUUUAUAAAAUGAAAUGAUUUGAUUUACAUGCAUUCUUAUUAAAUUCUUAUGUAUCUUACCCUUAUUGAGUUUUGGAAGGAGCUAGUUUUAGUGUUAAUGUAUAGAUCCCAAAUUAGCAAUUUUAUGUUUAGCUUUGUAGUAUUGUGUAUUUAAGGAUCUAAUGAAAGUUGUGUAUCUUAAAGCAUUAAGAGAUGUAUUAUGUGAAAUUUAGAAUUUGAGUAACUGAUGGAUUAUGUUAUUCUUU
Quercus robur (English oak) is the source of this 1748-nucleotide long non-coding RNA. RefSeq lists it as uncharacterized. The record is from RefSeq and is a predicted model, not a curated record. The transcript is spliced from 2 exons. Lineage: Eukaryota; Viridiplantae; Streptophyta; Magnoliopsida; Fagales; Fagaceae.